This 895-nucleotide long non-coding RNA is filed under the name Homo sapiens (human). Its description in RNAcentral is "HSALNT0260632". Lineage: Eukaryota; Metazoa; Chordata; Mammalia; Primates; Hominidae. The record is from RNAcentral.
GGGCAGGAUAAGGAGGGAUGGCCAGAGGAGGGAACGGAGAACCGCUGGGGUUGGCUAGGGGUUAAUUUGAGGCUGGGUGUUGGGAAGCUCCUGGGAGUUUCCAAGAGGCUAGGACACUGGGGAGUGCUGAGCAGACAUGGGCUGGGGAAAUAGGGGGUCCGGUGUGGUGGCUGAGUGACCAAGGGGUCAUUAAGGUGUGGGCGCUGUGGGAGGCUGGCACGCUUUGGAAGGACAUGGAGCUAGUGAGGUGAGCUGGAGAGCAGAUGAGAAGCAGGGUGAGUGAAAAUCAGAGCUGGGUACCUGUGGGCAUUGAAUGAUACGGUGGAGGGGGAAUUGUGAGGGAGCAAUGAAAUCGCGGUGGUCCAAUUUGGGGAGAGGCUCAGCAAACUCGGGCAAGAUGGGUGUACCGCGUUUCCAAUGUGAAGAGCCGAAAGCAGGACAGGGAAGGAUGCUGUGUGGGGGACAGGGAUAGGGAAAGGCUGAGGGGCAGAGGAAACUGGGGUGCUGAGAGUUGGUAGCCUGCCCACCACUCCCCACCCCCAGUCCCAGUCCCACUCGUACCUGACGGUGGCCUCACGGCCCCAGCUGCCUGCCCCACGAGAAGACGCUCCGUUCUGUGCACAUCGCCGGGCAGAGGGCAGCCCCAGACUUGUUGACUUGGCAGAGGUGCCAGUAAGGCCGCCCAUGCCGGAGGCCAGCAUCCCUCUGCCAGGAGCACGGGGAGGGAGGGAGUGGAGGGGGACGUGGCAGGGGAGGGAAGGUCUGAGGGGCAUGGGAGCCAGAGAGGGUACCCACUCCCCUGCAGGACCUGUGACAGUCGGUCCACAGAUCCUCCCCCACUGCUCUGAGUCAGAUUCCACACACACAGCCUUUAUUGAGCAGCUACUGGGCAGUG